GAUGAACGCUGGCGGCGUGCCUAAUACAUGCAAGUCGAGCGAACGGACGAGAAGCUUGCUUCUCUGAUGUUAGCGGCGGACGGGUGAGUAACACGUGGAUAACCUACCUAUAAGACUGGGAUAACUUCGGGAAACCGUAGCUAAUACCGGAUAAUAUUUUGAACCGCAUGGUUCAAAAGUGAAAGACGGUCUUGCUGUCACUUAUAGAUGGAUCCGCGCUGCAUUAGCUAGUUGGUAAGGUAACGGCUUACCAAGGCAACGAUGCAUAGCCGACCUGAGAGGGUGAUCGGCCAAACGGAAACUGGGACCGGGUCCAGACCCCAACGGGAGGCAGCGGUGGGGAAUCUUCCGCAAUGGGGGAAAGCCUGACGGAGCAACGCGGCGGGAGGGAGGAAGGGCUGCGGAUCGUAAAACUCUGUUAUGAGGGAAGAACAGAUGUGUAAGUAACUGUGCAGAUCUUGACGGUACCUAAGCAGAAAGCCACGGCUAACUACGU
RNAcentral lists this ribosomal RNA (496 nucleotides) under uncultured bacterium. RNAcentral describes it as "partial 16S ribosomal RNA". It matches the Rfam family "Bacterial small subunit ribosomal RNA", at positions 28 to 506 of the family's 1533-position model. The record is from RNAcentral.